This 640-nucleotide ribosomal RNA is filed under the name uncultured bacterium. RNAcentral describes it as "bacterial SSU rRNA". It matches the Rfam family "Bacterial small subunit ribosomal RNA", at positions 38 to 687 of the family's 1533-position model. The record is from RNAcentral.
GGCGGCGUGCCUAACAAUGCAAGUCGAACGUCCUCGCACUUUUCGGAGUGAGAGGGAGUGGCGGACGGGUGAGUAGCACGUGGGUGACCUACCCGCAAGUGAGGGAUACCGGCGAGAAAUCGCCGACAAGACCGCAUAGGCUUCUUUCUUCGCUGAGAGAAGCAAAGCCUUGUUUUUCGGAACGAGGUGCUUGAGGAUGGGCCCGCGGCCGAUUAGCUGGUUGGUGGGGUAACGGCCUACCAAGGCGACGAUCGGUAGCUGGUCUGAGAGGACGAUCAGCCACACUGGGAUUGAGAACGGCCCAGACUCCUACGGGGGGCAGCAGUGAGGAAUUUUCGGCAAUGGAGGCAACUCUGACCGAGCAACGCCGCGUGCAGGAGGACGCUUUUCGGAGUGUAAACUGCUUUUCCCAGGGAAGAGAGCGGACGGUACCUGGGGAAGAAGCCCCGGCUAACUACGUGCCAGCAGCCGCGGUAAUACGUAGGGGGCAAGCGUUGUCCGGAGUUACUGGGCGUAAAGCGCCCGCAGGCGGUGCGAUGCGUGUGGGGUGACAGCUCCUCGCUUAACGAGGGGAGCGCCUCGCAAACGGUGGCACUUGAGGGCCAGAGGGGACAUGGAACUCCGGGUGGAGCGGUGAAAU